This 233-nucleotide ribosomal RNA is filed under the name uncultured bacterium. Its description in RNAcentral is "partial 16S ribosomal RNA". It matches the Rfam family "Bacterial small subunit ribosomal RNA", at positions 100 to 334 of the family's 1533-position model. The record is from RNAcentral.
CGGGACGGGUGGGUAAUGUCUGGGAAACGUCUCGAUGGAGGGGGAUAACUACUGGAAACGGUAGCUAAUACCGCAUAACGUCGCAAGACCAAAGAGGGGGACCUUAGGGCCUCUUGCCAUCGGAUGUGCCCAGAUGGGAUUAGCUAGUAGGUGGGGUAACGGCUCACCUAGGCGACGAUCCCUAGCUGGUCUGAGAGGAUGACCAGCCACACUGGAACUGAGACACGGUCCAG